RNAcentral lists this ribosomal RNA (344 nucleotides) under Diphterophora communis. RNAcentral describes it as "SSU rRNA". It matches the Rfam family "Eukaryotic small subunit ribosomal RNA", at positions 594 to 945 of the family's 1831-position model. The record is from RNAcentral. Lineage: Eukaryota; Metazoa; Nematoda; Enoplea; Dorylaimida; Diphterophoridae.
AUAGCGUAUAUUAAAGUUGUUGUGGUUAAAAAGCUCGUAGUUGGAUCUGCGUUUGGCUGAGGUGGUCCCCCACUGGGCGGCACUACUUCGGCUGAACUAAUCAUUCGGUUUUCUCUUGAUGCUCUUAACUGAGUGUCUUGAGUGGCCGGAACGUUUACUUUGAAAAAAUUAGAGUGCUCAAAGCAGGCGCUACGCCUGAACAUUCGUGCAUGGAAUAAUGGAAAAGGUCUUUGCAGCCUUUUAUUGGUUAUCGCUGUAAGGAAAUGAUCGACGGGGACAGACGGGGGCAUUCGUAUUGCGACGUUAGAGGUGAAAUUCUGGGAUCGUCGCAAGACGGACUACUG